Molecule: ribosomal RNA, 494 nt
Filed under: uncultured bacterium
Lineage: Bacteria
Description: bacterial SSU rRNA
Rfam family: Bacterial small subunit ribosomal RNA
Source: RNAcentral
AGUUGAUCAUGGCUCAGAUUGAACGCUGGACGGAAUGCUUACACAUGCAAGUCGAACGGUAGAGGGGCAACCCUUGAGAGUGGCGAACGGGUGAGUAAUAUAUCGGAACGUGCCCAGUCGUGGGGGAUAACGUAGCGAAAGUUACGCUAAUACCGCAUACGAUCUAAGGAUGAAAGCGGGGGAUCGCAAGACCUCGCGCGAUUGGAGCGGCCGAUAUCAGAUUAGGUAGUUGGUGAGGUAAAGGCUCACCAAGCCAACGAUCUGUAGCUGGUCUGAGAGGACGACCAGCCACACUGGAACUGAGACACGGUCCAGACUCCUACGGGAGGCAGCAGUGGGGAAUUUUGGACAAUGGACGCAAGUCUGAUCCAGCCAUUCCGCGUGCAGGAUGAAGGCCCUCGGGUUGUAAACUGCUUUGUACGGAACGAAAAGGUUUCUAUUAAUACUAGGAGCUCAUGACGGUACCGUAAGAAUAAGCACCGGCUAACUACGUG